UUUGAUAAGGAUCCUUGGGCAGAAUGGAUGGACCUUCCCACACUUGAUCGAUGCAUUCAACAAUGAUCAAUGAUUCAGCAAUGGAUUUGCCGUUAUGCACCAAAACAGGUACUUUUUUGUGAAUCGGAUUGUACUGUAAAAGAAGCGGUGACUUGUUUUUCACAUCUUCUGCUAUGUAUUCAUAUUCAACUCCUUUCAUUUUAAGGGCCAUUUCCACUCUAUUCACGUAUGGGCUAUACCCCAAUCCUCCCAACAUUCCUCUCUCUCUCUCUCUCUCUCUAAGAUGUGAUUUUUGGUUAUCCUUGAUGGGCACAUCUUAUAGAGUAUGCUUGUUAGAUAAGACAAACUGGAAAAAUAAUUGAAUGGAUAGUUGCAGUUUCUUGUUUUUUAGGGAAAAGAAUUGUUCUAAUUAAUUUGACAUUGGUUUGAAUUUUACUGGAUAGUCUGGAUUGAUUGAAUAGUAUAAAUACGUGUGAAUUAAUAAAGCUUGAAAUUAUGGACAUUGAGUCUACACAUAGACAGCUUUUACUAAUUUUCAAAUGUGUCGUACGAAAUUUCGACGUAUGCAAUGAUCUCAGCCGCCUAAUCUAGCAUAUAUUAGAUCAUAAUAAGGUUAUAUAUCUGGAGUAUUAUUAAAAAAUAAUUAGAUAUAAUCUAAAUUCCUAAUUUAUACUCUAAAAUCAUUUAUUUUGAGAAUUAAACUCGAUGGAUAAAAAUAAUAAAUUUAAUUUUUUAUUUAUUUAUAUAAAUUAAUUAAAAUUCUUAAUUAUUUCUAUAAUUUAAGUUAGUUUAAUUGAUUGGCACUAAAACAAAAAAUAGAUAUUGAGACACUUUAAUGAGGACAUUUUUUAUUUAGUGCCUCUAAUAAUUAUUGUUGGCGCAUUUGAUCAAAUAUGCUAAAUUUUAUAAAUUUAAUGGGGCACAACACUUAAAAAAAAUCAAGCCCAAACAUCUAUAUAUAUAUAAGAAAUACCAGUUUUAGAGCAGUUUUUUUCGAACCAAAUUUGACAGUUUUUUUGAAAAGAUCGUGAUUCAUGUGACACCAUUUGCAUAAGAUGAUGGGAUCGUCAUUUUUAAUUAUCUGCUUGGGAUAUUAGUCAUAUUUAAUUAAUUAGUUGUAUUUACUAGGUGUAUCUUUUAAAGAAAACAUCCAUAUUUUAAAUUAGCACACGUGUGCUGAUGUUAUUAAUUUAAAGCAAAAAAUAUAUAUUAUUUUUUAUAAGCAAAACAUGUAUUGUUAUUUCCACAUAACAAAUAAUGUUAAUUAAUACAAUAAGAUAGUGAAAUCAAUUUAGUAUCAUUAAUGUUUUAGCUAUUUAUUUUUAUUUAUAUGUGUGUAUAAGUAAAAUAGAGAAAGUAACUAUUUUAUGUAAUUUAUUUUUAUUUUUCUUAGUCUGUAUUUAAAUCUUAGUAAUUAUAUACAAACAUACUGAUGUGUGUAUUUUAGCUACUUAGUUUGGUGUGUGUUUCGCCAUGAUUUUAUAUGAUUUUACAUGGUUUGUGACAUUUUGGCGCAGGAAUUAGAUGAAUUGGAGAUGGAGCUUGGAGAUGGAAGGAAUUAGAGAAAAGCAAGCUUUUGAUGGAGAUUGGCGUGGAAAUUGAAGAUUUAGAGAUUUGGGCUUUGGAAAUAUUUAUCUUGUAAUUUAUUUAAGCCAAAUACUCUUUUAAUUAAACUUUUGGGCUUUAGUUUUUGGGAAGGGCCGAAACCUAUAAACAUUA
RNAcentral lists this long non-coding RNA (1719 nucleotides) under Salvia miltiorrhiza (redroot sage). RNAcentral's name for it is "long non-coding RNA (SMIL_LNC011979)". The record is from RNAcentral. Lineage: Eukaryota; Viridiplantae; Streptophyta; Magnoliopsida; Lamiales; Lamiaceae.